AGCUCCAAUAGCGUAUAUUAAAGUUGUUGCAGUUAAAAAGCUCGUAGUUGGAUCUCGGGAGCAGGCCGGCGGUCCGCCUCGCGGCGGUUUCUUCCUUUUCUUCCCCUCCCGCCCGUUUUUCCCCCGUGCUCUUCCUUUGGUGCCUCCGGUGGCCGGAACGUUUACUUUGAAAAAAUUAGAGUGUUCAAAGCAGGCAGUUCGCCUGAAUAAUGGUGCAUGGAAUAAUGGAAUAGGACCUCGGUUCUAUUUUGUUGGUUUUCGGAACUUGAGGUAAUGAUUAAGAGGGACAGACGGGGGCAUUCGUAUUACACUGUUAGAGGUGAAAUUCUUGGAUCGGUGUAAGACGAACUACUGCGAAAGCAUUUGCCAAGAAUGUUUUCA
Molecule: ribosomal RNA, 381 nt
Filed under: marine Metazoa environmental sample
Lineage: Eukaryota; Metazoa
Description: SSU rRNA
Rfam family: Eukaryotic small subunit ribosomal RNA
Source: RNAcentral